AAAGCGGCCGCGCGACUGGAGCGGGGAGCGGCGCGGGCUGAGAAGAUUCGGUACAGCUGUCCCAUACCGCUUCAUUAUUGCUUCCUGCACAUAAAGUGCUUCCACUGCUUGGAUAUGAGCAGAUGAAGCGAGCACACAAUAUAAGGAAAGGGGGAUUAAGAAUGCAUCGGAGAUGAAGGUUGAAUUAGUUCUGCUUCAAGAGCUAAGUGAAGGCAUAUACAGUUGGAUGUCAUCAGCUUCCUGAAAUGCUUUCUAUAACGGGAAGGCAACAACGUGCUAUAUUACCCUUCUUCAGGAAAGGAAGCAGUUCUUCCCUUACCCCUUACAGUCAUCCGAGGAAAAAUACUACUCCAGGACUGUUGUCGAUUCAUUCACAGUGUACAAGACAGUAGCAGCUGUAACUGUGAUGCAGUAGAUGAGGCCACUACCAGAUGGAUAACUGAAAUUCAUUCAUCUCUCCAAGGUGACUAAAAUAUGAACAGAGUAAUGUCUAGAGCCAGACUGAAAAUAUCAAGAACAUCAACAAUAUUCAGAGUCUGUGAUGCUUGACAACUGUUGAAAAGCUAUUUCCUUUGAUGUUAAGCCAUACUGACAGCUAACUUUUCAAACAGAAGCCAUAGUAGCGCGUAUGUGAGUUUGUUCCAAUGACCACUUCAAGUUCUUUAAAUGUUCAUGCUAAAAACUUACCUAUCUACUCUCUAUGCCAGGUGUACCUAUCUAUGGAACUGUUUUGUUAAGUAUUAAUCAUUUCAUUUAACUCUCAGUAGUUAGUGAAGGGAUGGCUAUUCCCUGUGUUUGGCUUCCCUGUGAGUACCAAAUAGUCAUAGUUAUGCACGACAAAGAUACACAUCAGUACAUUGUAGGGUGUGUUCCAUCAGUGUUCAAUAUUACCACAGAUGACCUACUAUAUUUUACUUUAAGUAGGUAAUUUCCACUGAUGUGCAGUGUCUGUACAUACUGCUUCUUUAUGUCCUGAUACAUGGACUUUUAUUCAGAAAAGAUGAAAGUUCUAGCACUGAGCAAAGAUAUCUGUACCUAGAGAGAGUGAUAGUUCUGCCAGGCUCCUGAAAAAACCUCUAUAGUGAACUAGAACCUUCUAGAGAAGUAGGGUUUGCACUGGCUUCAUUUCACGUUCUUCAGUGCAAGAUGAAAAUGAUGUUUCUCAUAUGCCACUUCUGGCAGAAAACAGGAAGAAAGAGGGAAAGAAAGAAAUCUCAGCAUAGAAAAAAUAUUACCAACAAUUAUGUAGAGAAGACAAAAUUGAGAUAUAUUGAACAUAAAAUUUAUCUAUUUUGUUUCUUGUUCUUAACAGCACUUAAAUUUAAAAGCUACAGUGAAAAAUACAAUUUUCACAGAAUAUAUUUGAGUCAUACACAUUUAAAAAGUAUUUUUUUACCUCUAACCUCAUAAACUUUCCUCUAUCUUCUAACUUGCAAACACAUGCAUUGUUUUGUACAUUUUGCUGUUUGGGUAAUCAAUAUUCGUACUUGUUCAUUAAAAGAAAAAGACUCUCUUGAAAUACAGCAUGUGCACUUCUAAUGUUUCCAGUCCCAUAGGUUUAGUCAGAGUGGUACGUAUUCUGUUUUCCAUCCAUAAAGCCACAGAAGUACUACGGUAGCAAUACAACUGCAGGUUUCAGUAGGGCAGAAUUUCAAAUGGCUUCUGGUUUGUCUCUUCUGGAGAACUCCUAUAUGAAAACAACACGUAGCCUGCCUGUGCUGCGGAUUACAGAAGUGAGAGCAGUGGUGACUAUGUGCUGCCUAGCUCUGUGGAGGCUCCGAGAAGACCAUUGCUGAAUAUGUCUGUGCAUUUAACACAUGCUCAAGUUAAGAUUACAAUAAGAUAUAUAGAAAUUGAGAAUAUUAAGAUGCCUUAGCCAUUAUUUGUUUCAUGCACGCCAGUUUUAUCAUCUGAUUUACGUUAGCUAUCUACUUUAAACUUAUCCAGAAUACUGUUCUGCAUUUAAUUAAGUGAUGAAGUCAGCUACUUAAAAAUACUGCCACCAGCAGCUUUUUUAUUCACUAUGUAUAACUAAAAAUACAAUGUUCGAAGACAUUUCCGUUUAAGAUACAUAAUAAAAAAGUAUUUUUAUUUUUCACAGUGGAGUAUUUUCACACUUGCUACAGAAUUAAAAAGUAAAUUAGCAUAUUCAUUUUGGCAACAACAGUAGCAAAGAGCUGUCAAUUCUGUCAACAAGAAAUCGAAUAAGUCUUCUGUUUUUGAGGUGUCCCAUGUUUUGGUAAAAUGCCAUACUAUGUUGGUUAUUGUUGAAUAUAAAUGAAAUGCUUUCAGCCUUAACUUUGGAAAUAGAUUUAAAUUAACCAUUCAUCUCAAUUACUACUAAAAGCAAGUAGAGCUUAAAAUGCAACUGGUACAUUAAUUUAAUUUUUCCUUUUAAUGUCUGAAAUGUAAACGUGUAUGUAUAUUGACUUACACUGAAGCAUUGCUGGUGCUGCUUAUGCUUCUUAACAUUCAAUACACGAAAAGUAGCAGUACUUACCCAAGGAGUUUAUAUUUAACUGGACAGAAAACAUCUAUAUGAAUUACAAUGAAACACCACACUUUAAACUGGCUGGUAGUGAACAAGAAUCAUUUGUAUUGGCUGAGCUUUCUAAUAAAAUAUAAUC
Gallus gallus (chicken) is the source of this 2627-nucleotide long non-coding RNA. Lineage: Eukaryota; Metazoa; Chordata; Aves; Galliformes; Phasianidae. The record is from Ensembl.